Molecule: ribosomal RNA, 282 nt
Filed under: Riemerella anatipestifer
Lineage: Bacteria; Pseudomonadati; Bacteroidota; Flavobacteriia; Flavobacteriales; Weeksellaceae
Description: partial 23S ribosomal RNA
Rfam family: Bacterial large subunit ribosomal RNA
Source: RNAcentral
GAGACGGCAACCACCGACAUCUACACCCGUUCCCUACACUAAGCUGUUCCGAUCUCAUCACUGGUGUUCGGGUUGUCAUGCCAAUGGCACUGCCCGGUAGCUAAAUGCGGAAGAGAUAAGUGCUGAAAGCAUCUAAGCACGAAACUUGCCCCGAGAUGAGUUCUCCCUGAGACUUUAAGUCUCCUGAAGGAACGUUAAAGACGAUGACGUUGAUAGGCCGGGUGUGUAAGCGCAGCGAUGCGUUGAGCUAACCGGUACUAAUGAACCGUGAGGCUUAACCUU